AUUGAACGCUGGCGGCAUGCUUUACACAUGCAAGUCGAACGGUAACAGGCCGCAAGGUGCUGACGAGUGGCGAACGGGUGAGUAAUGCAUCGGAACGUGCCCAGUCGUGGGGGAUAACUACUCGAAAGAGUAGCUAAUACCGCAUACGAUCUAUGGAUGAAAGCGGGGGACCGUAAGGCCUCGCGCGAUUGGAGCAGCCGAUGUCAGAUUAGGUAGUUGGUGGGGUAAAGGCUCACCAAGCCAACGAUCUGUAGCUGGUCUGAGAGGACGACCAGCCACACUGGGACUGGGACACGGCCCAGACUCCUACGGGAGGCAGCAGUGGGGAAUUUUGGACAAUGGGCGCAAGCCUGAUCCAGCAAUGCCGCGUGCAGGAAGAAGGCCUUCGGGUUGUAAACUGCUUUUGUACGGAACGAAACGGCUCUGGUUAAUACCCGGGGCUAAUGACGGUACCGUAAGAAUAAGCACCGGCUAACUACGUG
Molecule: ribosomal RNA, 482 nt
Filed under: uncultured bacterium
Lineage: Bacteria
Description: partial 16S ribosomal RNA
Rfam family: Bacterial small subunit ribosomal RNA
Source: RNAcentral